AAAAAGACAAACUCUGGGUUUUCGUCUCCAACGUUUCACUGUCUGUCUUAUAUGAAAUUUUUUUAUAAUUAGUAUUUUCAUUGUUGUUAGAUGAUAAAACAUGAUUAAUAGUUUAUGUGUGACUUGUCUUUUUAAUUUUUUUCAUAAUUUUUUAAAUAAGACGGAUGGUCAAACGUUGGACACGGAAACCCAGAGUUUAUCUUUUU
This is a non-coding RNA of Oryza meridionalis, 206 nucleotides long. The record is from Rfam. NCBI's taxonomy places the organism in Eukaryota, Viridiplantae, Streptophyta, Magnoliopsida, Poales, Poaceae.